UGGGGAAUUUUGCGCAAUGGGCGAAAGCCUGACGCAGCAACGCCGCGUGAGGGAAGAAGGCCUUCGGGUUGUAAACCUCUGUCCUUGGUGACGAAAAAAAUGACGGUAGCCAAGGAGGAAGCCCCGGCUAACUACGUGCCAGCAGCCGCGGUAAUACGUAGGGGGCGAGCGUUGUCCGGAAUUACUGGGCGUAAAGGGUGCGUAGGUGGCCUUUUAAGUUGGAUGUGAAAUACCCGGGCUUAACUUGGGGGGUGCAUCUAAUACUGGAAGGCUAGAGUGCAGGAGAGGGAAGCGGAAUUCCUAGUGUAGCGGUGAAAUGCGUAGAUAUUAGGAGGAACACCAGUGGCGAAGGCGGCUUUCUGGACUGUAACUGACACUGAGGCACGAAAGCGUGGGGAGCAAACA
RNAcentral lists this ribosomal RNA (405 nucleotides) under uncultured prokaryote. Its description in RNAcentral is "bacterial SSU rRNA". It matches the Rfam family "Bacterial small subunit ribosomal RNA", at positions 355 to 774 of the family's 1533-position model. The record is from RNAcentral.